RNAcentral lists this ribosomal RNA (1392 nucleotides) under Triticum aestivum (bread wheat). RNAcentral's name for it is "partial small subunit ribosomal RNA". Lineage: Eukaryota; Viridiplantae; Streptophyta; Magnoliopsida; Poales; Poaceae. The record is from RNAcentral.
AUGGCGCCGCAUCCCAGGGACUACUGGGUCAACUUCUUCCGGGGAGGCGGCGAGGACAUCCUCAACGCCAUCGAGGGGGCCAUCGACGUCGCCGCGUCCGAGCAGCCCGCCGCCCUCCGCGCCAGGCGCGACGCCAUAGCCGAGCGCCUCUACACGGCGCUCCUCCUCGUGUCCUCCGGCGCGCCGACCACGGCGGCGGGGGCCGCGGCGGCAGCGGCGCGUCCCCCGGCGGGGGCGCCCGCCGCUGAGCCGCAGGCGCAGGAGCAGCAGCAGCAGCAGCUCCUCCCCGAGGGCGCCGCCAGCGUCCCCAGCCUCUGCAGCUCCGACCGCGCCGAGGCCAUUACCGACGACGGAGCGCCCCGCCACGACGACGACUCCGUCGCCGCCGAGGCCGAGAAAAUCAAGGCCGUCCUCGUCAACUACCAGGAAAAGUCGGAGGCGGCGUUGCUCGAUCUGCUCCGGCGGCUGCAGCAGCUGGAGUUCACGGUGCACACCUUGAAGGUCACUGCGAUUGGGAAGACCGUGGGCACCCUCCGGAAGCACAACUCCAAGCAGAUUCGGCACCUCGUACGGUUGCUCAUCGGGGGUUGGAAGAGUAUAGUUGACGAGUGGAUGAGCAAUGGAGGCAGCGGAGACGCCAUUGUUGAUCACACCCCUCAGUCCAUGCAUCCGUCCAGUCUGGAGCAGGAAGACCGAGGAAUGUCAUCACCUUCCGUGGACGAGGGGGCACUCUUCGCCACACCGAGUACUUCCAUCCGGCUCUCAGAGGACAACCAGGGCUCUAGGAUGUUUGAUGGAAUGGAUGAUGCUGGAAAUACAAGGAACAGUGUACAGCGGCAUCCGGGAAGCCAAGAACCAAUUAGAAGGCCGCCGCAGCCAGUGGCCCAGCAGUAUGACCCUGACCAGAGCUGGAGGCAAGAACAAUCUGCAGCAAGGCAAUCCCGGCCGCAAGAACUGGCCAAUGGGCAAACGAGAGAGCAAUUCAUUGCGGCCAUGCUGACGAAGCCCUCAAGUGCUGAGUCGGGUCGUGGGAGACCUCAAGUGAGGCCUAAGCAGCAGCAAGGUGCCUCGCCCGCCCAAGGCAGACCGCAACCGGUGCCAUCUGAUAAACCGGCGGGCAAUCCUGAUGCGAACUCGCUUCGAGCGAAGCUAGAUCUCGCAAAGAAUGCAAAGUUGGAACUGGCAACUAACUCCAAGCUAGAGAUGACAAAGCGAAAGCUUCAGGAAGGGUACCAAGAAUUCGAUAACGCAAAGAAGCAGAGGACUGUACAGAUGGUGGAUCCGCAAGACAUCCGGAAGCAAGGGAACCGGGCUUGGCAGCCAAAUGCCAAGCCGAGGAACAACAGCAACAGCAGCAACACCAACAACAACCGGAAUUGGCCGUCGAAAUGA